AAGAUGGGUACUGAGACACGGACCCAGGCCCUAUGGGGCGCAGCAGGCGAGAAACCUUUGCAAUGUGCGAAAGCACGACAAGGUUAAUCCGAGUGUCUCCUGCUAAAGGAGUCUUUUGUCAGUUGUAGAAUCACUGGUGAAUAAGGGGUGGGCAAGUUCUGGUGUCAGCCGCCGCGGUAAAACCAGCACCUCGAGUGGUCAGGAGGUUUAUUGGGCCUAAAGCAUCCGUAGCCGGUUGCAUAAGUUUUCGGUUAAAUCUAUGCGCUUAACGUAUAGGCCGCCGAAAAUACUGUGCAGCUAGGGAGUGGGAGAGGUACACGGUACUCGAUAGGAAGGGGUAAAAUCCUUUGAUCUAUUGAAGACCACCUGUGGCGAAGGCGGUGUACCAGAACACGUUCGACGGUGAGGGAUGAAAGCUGGGGGAGCAAACCGGAUUAGAUACCCGGGUAGUCCCAGCUGUAAACGAUGCAGACUCGGUGAUGCAUUGGCUUGUGGCCAACGCAGUGCCGCAGGGAAGCCGUUAAGUCUGCCGCCUGGGAAGUACGUACGCAAGUAUGAAACUUAAAGGAAUUGGCGGGGGAGCACCACAAGGGGUGAAGCCUGCGGUUCAAUUGGAGUCACGCCAGAUGUAGAGCAUC
RNAcentral lists this ribosomal RNA (638 nucleotides) under uncultured archaeon. Its description in RNAcentral is "bacterial SSU rRNA". It matches the Rfam family "Archaeal small subunit ribosomal RNA", at positions 293 to 931 of the family's 1478-position model. The record is from RNAcentral.